Molecule: ribosomal RNA, 895 nt
Filed under: uncultured Faecalibacterium sp.
Lineage: Bacteria; Bacillati; Bacillota; Clostridia; Eubacteriales; Oscillospiraceae
Description: bacterial SSU rRNA
Rfam family: Bacterial small subunit ribosomal RNA
Source: RNAcentral
AGAGUUUGAUCCUGGCUCAGGACGAACGCUGGCGGCGCGCCUAACACAUGCAAGUCGAACGAGAGAGAGGGAGCUUGCUUCCUCAAUCGAGUGGCGAACGGGUGAGUAACGCGUGAGGAACCUGCCUCAAAGAGGGGGACAACAGUUGGAAACGACUGCUAAUACCGCAUAAGCCCACGACCCGGCAUCGGGUUGAGGGAAAAGGAGCAAUCCGCUUUGAGAUGGCCUCGCGUCCGAUUAGCUAGUUGGUGAGGUAAUGGCCCACCAAGGCAACGAUCGGUAGCCGGACUGAGAGGUUGAACGGCCACAUUGGGACUGAGACACGGCCCAGACUCCUACGGGAGGCAGCAGUGGGGAAUAUUGCACAAUGGGGGAAACCCUGAUGCAGCGACGCCGCGUGGAGGAAGAAGGUCUUCGGAUUGUAAACUCCUGUUGUUGAGGAAGAUAAUGACGGUACUCAACAAGGAAGUGACGGCUAACUACGUGCCAGCAGCCGCGGUAAAACGUAGGUCACAAGCGUUGUCCGGAAUUACUGGGUGUAAAGGGAGCGCAGGCGGGAAGACAAGUUGGAAGUGAAAUCUAUGGGCUCAACCCAUAAACUGCUUUCAAAACUGUUUUUCUUGAGUAGUGCAGAGGUAGGCGGAAUUCCCGGUGUAGCGGUGGAAUGCGUAGAUAUCGGGAGGAACACCAGUGGCGAAGGCGGCCUACUGGGCACCAACUGACGCUGAGGCUCGAAAGUGUGGGUAGCAAACAGGAUUAGAUACCCUGGUAGUCCACACCGUAAACGAUGAUUACUAGGUGUUGGAGGAUUGACCCCUUCAGUGCCGCAGUUAACACAAUAAGUAAUCCACCUGGGGAGUACGACCGCAAGGUUGAAACUCAAAGGAAUUGACGG